Molecule: ribosomal RNA, 258 nt
Filed under: uncultured Glomus
Lineage: Eukaryota; Fungi; Glomeromycota; Glomeromycetes; Glomerales; Glomeraceae
Description: partial 18S ribosomal RNA
Rfam family: Eukaryotic small subunit ribosomal RNA
Source: RNAcentral
AAGCUCGUAGUUGAAUUUCGGGAUUAGUACGUCGGUCGUGCCUUAGGUACGUACUGGUGUUACUGGUUUCCUACCUUCUGACGAACCAUCAUGUCAUUAAUUUGGUGUGGUGGGGAAUCAGGACUGUUACUUUGAAAAAAUUAGAGUGUUUAAAGCAGGCUCGCGCUUGAAUACAUUAGCAUGGAAUAAUGAAAUAGGACGUUGAUCCUAUUUUGUUGGUUUCUAGGAUUGACGUAAUGAUUAAUAGGGAUAGUUGGG